This 308-nucleotide long non-coding RNA is filed under the name Elaeis guineensis (African oil palm). RNAcentral describes it as "long non-coding RNA (EGUI_LNC068965)". Lineage: Eukaryota; Viridiplantae; Streptophyta; Magnoliopsida; Arecales; Arecaceae. The record is from RNAcentral.
AUUUUUAUUAAGAAGUAAGUUUUUUUUUUAAUUAUAACAACGUGAUGAGGAGGUAAUUCAUCGUUACUUGCCGCAUGGCCCGAUGAAAAAAAAAAAACAAGGAUCAAAAAAUUUCGAAAUAACUGUGAUUCAAGUGGAAAUAUGAUUUCGGAUGCCAACUGAUUUGCGAGUUUGGAUGUUAUUUAUCAUUGCAAAUUUUUGACUCGGAGAUCGGCACGACUGGAGCUUCUGAUUGGAGUUAGCUUUGGUGAGAACCUUUUGAUGCUCAAGUUAGUAAUACCGAAUAGAUAGGAAGGAGUGAGUGAGAG